CCUACGGGUGGCAGCAGUGAGGAAUAUUGGUCAAUGGACGAGAGUCUGAACCAGCCAAGUAGCGUGAAGGAUGACUGCCCUAUGGGUUGUAAACUUCUUUUAUAUGGGGAUAAAAUGUUACACGUGUGGGCUUUUGUAUGUACCAUAUGAAUAAGGAUCGGCUAACUCCGUGCCAGCAGCCGCGGUAAUACGGAGGAUCCGAUCGUUAUCCGGAUUUAUUGGGUUUAAAGGGAGCGUAGGUGGAUUGUUAAGUCAGUUGUGAAAGUUUGCGGCUCAACCGUAAAAUUGCAGUUGAAACUGGCAGUCUUGAGUACAGUAGAGGUGGGCGGAAUUCGUGGUGUAGCGGUGAAAUGCUUAGAUAUCACGAAGAACUCCGAUUGCGAAGGCAGCUCACUGGACUGCAACUGACACUGAGGCUCGAAAGUGUGGGUAUCAAACAGGAUUAGAUACCCGUGUAGUC
This 460-nucleotide ribosomal RNA is filed under the name uncultured bacterium. RNAcentral's name for it is "partial 16S ribosomal RNA". It matches the Rfam family "Bacterial small subunit ribosomal RNA", at positions 338 to 795 of the family's 1533-position model. The record is from RNAcentral.